This 72-nucleotide transfer RNA is filed under the name Heterocephalus glaber (naked mole-rat). It matches the Rfam family "tRNA". From Rfam's summary of the family: Transfer RNA (tRNA) molecules are approximately 80 nucleotides in length. The record is from Rfam by way of RNAcentral. Lineage: Eukaryota; Metazoa; Chordata; Mammalia; Rodentia; Bathyergidae.
AGGGAUGUAACUCAGUGGUAGAGUGUUUACUUAGCACACAGGAGGGUCUGGGUUCAACCCCCAGCACUUCAA